UACAGAGGGUGCGAGCGUUAAUCGGAAUUACUGGGCGUAAAGCGUGCGUAGACGGCUAUCUAAGUCGGGUGUGAAAGCCCCGGGCUCAACCUGGGAAUUGCAUUCGAGACUGAAUAGCUAGGGUACGGUAGAGGGAAGUGGAAUUUCCGGUGUAGCGGUGAAAUGCGUAGAUAUCGGAAGGAACAUCAGUGGCGAAAGCGGUUCUCUGGGCCUUACCUGACGCUGAGGAGCGAAAGCGUGGGGAGCGAACAGG
This 253-nucleotide ribosomal RNA is filed under the name uncultured bacterium. RNAcentral describes it as "partial 16S ribosomal RNA". It matches the Rfam family "Bacterial small subunit ribosomal RNA", at positions 524 to 776 of the family's 1533-position model. The record is from RNAcentral.